RNAcentral lists this ribosomal RNA (499 nucleotides) under uncultured bacterium. RNAcentral's name for it is "partial 16S ribosomal RNA". It matches the Rfam family "Bacterial small subunit ribosomal RNA", at positions 28 to 507 of the family's 1533-position model. The record is from RNAcentral.
GACGAACGCUGGCGGCGUGCUUAACACAUGCAAGUCGAACGGGCCCGCUCUCUUUUUUGGGGGUGGGUUGAGUGGCGAACGGGUGAGUAUCACGUGAGUAACCUGCCCCCUGCUCCUGGAUAACUGCUUGAAAGGGCGGCUAAUACGGGGUGUGCCGGCUGGUCCGCAUGGGCCUGGUCGGGAUAGUUUCAUCUUCGGGUGUUUCGGUGGGGGAUGGGCUCGCGGCCUAUCAGCUUGUUGGUGGGGUGAUGGCCCACCAAGGCGGUGACGGGUAGCCGGCCGGAGAGGGUGGGCGGCCACGCUGGGACUGAGACACGGCCCAGACUCCUGCGGGAGGCAGCGGUGGGGGGUAUUGCACAAUGGGCGGAAGCCUGAUGCAGCGACGUCGCGUGAGGGAUGGAGGCCUUCGGGUUGUGAACCUCUUUCUCCGGUGGUGAAGGCCCUGUCCGUUGCGGCGGGGUUGACGGUAGCCGGGUAUGAAGCGCCGGCUAACUACGUG